Leptopilina heterotoma is the source of this 284-nucleotide long non-coding RNA. RefSeq lists it as uncharacterized. The transcript is spliced from 2 exons. NCBI's taxonomy places the organism in Eukaryota, Metazoa, Arthropoda, Insecta, Hymenoptera, Figitidae. The record is from RefSeq and is a predicted model, not a curated record.
CUUGUUUUUAUUUCUCAUGAACAAUUUUUAAAUUUUCGAACACUCGUAAAAAUAAUUUUUUAUCUGGUUACUUAGAAUAUUUAUUAUUUAUCAAAAGCCACGUCUUAGUGGAAAGGAAUACAUCUCUCGACAAGGUAAUAAGUAAUACAAUAUAAUUUAAUAAAUAAACAAUUUACCAAGAGAAGACGAUUAUUUUAACACAUUAUUCCCAACGAAAAAAUGAAUUUUUGUAAAAACAAAAAAAUUUCACUUUGAAAUUAAUUGAAACGUGUAUAGAAGUAGAA